This 230-nucleotide ribosomal RNA is filed under the name uncultured bacterium. Its description in RNAcentral is "partial 16S ribosomal RNA". It matches the Rfam family "Bacterial small subunit ribosomal RNA", at positions 524 to 753 of the family's 1533-position model. The record is from RNAcentral.
UACGUAGGUGGCAAGCGUUGUCCGGAUUUAUUGGGUUUAAAGGGUGCGUAGGCGGUUCUAUAAGUCAGUGGUGAAAUCCGGCAGCUCAACUGUCGAUGUGCCAUUGAUACUGCAGAACUUGAGUACAGACGAGGUAGGCGGAAUUGACGGUGUAGCGGUGAAAUGCUUAGAUAUCGUCAAGAACACCGAUAGCGAAGGCAGCUUACUAGACUGUAACUGACGCUGAUGCA